GCAUGGGUUUGGAUUUACGGCAGGCCCCUGCCCCUGGGUUGGUCAUAGUGCCUCAUGCCGGAGCAAACUGUGGCCUCGAACCAUUGCCUGGCCUCUGCCCAUAGAUUGCACAGGGGAAAAAAUAAGCAAGUAAAUA
Phyllostomus hastatus (greater spear-nosed bat) is the source of this 136-nucleotide small nucleolar RNA. RefSeq annotates it as small nucleolar RNA SNORA42/SNORA80 family. Lineage: Eukaryota; Metazoa; Chordata; Mammalia; Chiroptera; Phyllostomidae. The record is from RefSeq and is a predicted model, not a curated record. The transcript has a single exon.